GUCGAGCGGUAACAGGCGUAGCAAUACGUGCUGACGAGCGGCGAACGGGUGAGUAACGCUUCGGAAUCUGCCCAAUGGUGGGGAAUAACCAGCCGAAAGGUUGGCUAAUACCGCAUGAGCCCUUCGGGGGAAAGCGGGGGAUCGCAAGACCUCGCGCCGAUGGAUGAGCCGAAGCCGGAUUAGCUAGUUGGUAGGGUAACGGCCUACCAAGGCGACGAUCCGUAGCUGGUCUGAGAGGACGACCAGCCACACUGGGACUGAGACACGGCCCAGACUCCUACGGGAGGCAGCAGUGGGGAAUAUUGGACAAUGGGGGAAACCCUGAUCCAGCGACGCCGCGUGUGUGAAGAAGGCCUGCGGGUUGUAAAGCACUUUUAGUGGGGAUGAAAAGCUCAGGGCUAACACCUCUGGGUCUUGACCUAACCCACAGAAAAAGCACCGGCUAACUCUGUGCCAGCAGCCGCGGUAAUACAGAGGGUGCAAGCGUUAAUCGGAAUUACUGGGCGUAAAGCGUACGUAGACGGUUGGAUAAGUCGGAUGUGAAAGCCCCGGGCUCAACCUGGGAAUGGCAUUCGAGACUGUUCAGCUAGGGUGCGGAAGAGGGAAGCGGAAUUUCCGGUGUAGCGGUGAAAUGCGUAGAUAUCGGAAGGAACACCAGUGGCGAAAGCGGCUUCCUGGUCCAGCACCGACGUUCAGGUACGA
RNAcentral lists this ribosomal RNA (702 nucleotides) under uncultured Gammaproteobacteria bacterium. RNAcentral describes it as "bacterial SSU rRNA". It matches the Rfam family "Bacterial small subunit ribosomal RNA", at positions 61 to 756 of the family's 1533-position model. The record is from RNAcentral. Lineage: Bacteria; Pseudomonadati; Pseudomonadota; Gammaproteobacteria.